GUCGAGGAGCAAACUUCCACACAUGGGUGCCCGCUCCACCAGGAUUCGGGUCAAGGCAGAGGGUCGUCUUGAACUUCAUGAGCCACACCCGGGCCUGGUGUGGUUGGACAUAAAAUCUCAUCACCUUUCCAAAGAGUGUUCGCUCUUCCCUCACCACAGCUGUCAUUUUGGUUUUGCUUGGUACAGACGUUUCCACACACCUAUAAUAUGACUGACUACUGACAUACAUGUUUCUGUUUUUUAGUGUGGAUCCUGUAAAUAAAUGCCUAUCUUACGCUAA
This is a long non-coding RNA of Sander lucioperca (pikeperch), 280 nucleotides long. RefSeq lists it as uncharacterized. The record is from RefSeq and is a predicted model, not a curated record. Lineage: Eukaryota; Metazoa; Chordata; Actinopteri; Perciformes; Percidae. The transcript has 2 exons.